Molecule: ribosomal RNA, 254 nt
Filed under: uncultured bacterium
Lineage: Bacteria
Description: partial 16S ribosomal RNA
Rfam family: Bacterial small subunit ribosomal RNA
Source: RNAcentral
UACGGGGGGAGCAAGCGUUGUUCGGAUUUACCGGGCGUAAAGGGCGCGUAGGCGGCCAGCACAAGUCAGUUGUGAAAUCUCCGAGCUUAACUCGGAAAGGUCAACUGAUACUGUGCGGCUAGAGUGCAGAAGGGGCAACUGGAAUUCUUGGUGUAGCGGUGAAAUGCGUAGAUAUCAAGAGGAACACCUGCGGCGAAGGCGGGUUGCUGGGCUGACACUGACGCUGAUGCGCGAAAGCUAGGGGAGCGAACGGG